Molecule: microRNA precursor, 60 nt
Filed under: Scyliorhinus torazame (cloudy catshark)
Lineage: Eukaryota; Metazoa; Chordata; Chondrichthyes; Carcharhiniformes; Scyliorhinidae
Description: Sto-Mir-24-P4_pre stem-loop
Rfam family: mir-24 microRNA precursor family
About the family: This family represents the microRNA (miRNA) mir-24 family. miRNAs are transcribed as ~70nt precursors (modelled here) and subsequently processed by the Dicer enzyme to give a ~22nt product. In this case the mature sequence comes from the 3' arm of the precursor.
Source: RNAcentral
GUGCCUACUGAACUGAUAUCAGUGAGUUAUGAAAGUGCUGGCUCAGUUCAGCAGGAACUG